UAACAUUAGACUUUUAUUGAACUUCGCAUUAUUUCAACAAGUGUUUUAUCUCAUGGUGAGCUUAACAACGGAUACAAUCAGACUCAUAGAUUUAUCAUAAAAGAGUAAGAGAUGUAAACCUAAGAAGCGCACCAACCAAUAAAUGAUCUUUCAACCAUCAAGUUCAGAAGCGUCGUGCCUCUGGUUAUCAGAAUUGUAGCAGGAAUUGCCUUGAGAUGUUGGGGUGACGGCACAACCACAUACAUGCAGUUCCUUUCUUCCUUCUACUGUAUUGCUCCACUGAACAAGGGUUUUUGAUACUCUUUAAAUAGGCAUCAACAUUGGAUCAUAGGCCAACCCCCAUUGGAUAAUAUUAAUGAUAGCCUAAAGAAUAAAAUAUAUUGUCUCAUUUGGAUAAUACUAUAAUAGUACAAUCCUGCACAUGAGACGCCAGCUGUCUUAUCCUUCCGUGACAGAAUAUUCUUUUUUAUUGUCAGCGCGCGAAGCUUUGACUAAGAUUUUGACUAAUUGUAAUUCUCGAUUGUAUGAAGAUUGGUGUCUUGACUCUCGUUAUCAUAUUUGAAGCUCUUGAGACCUUUUCAAAUGUGGCUCUUGUGGUCUGUCUUGACACUAGUUAUCACCUAAGCUAGCUCUUUACAUUAAAAUGUCGUGAAGUCCAAAAUCAAAAUGACUCAACAUUGAAUAAUCACCAUAUUAGCAGGGAAUAAUCCAAGUAUUAUCAAGAGCCUAAUAGCAUCAUAUAAAGUAAGUUAAUAGUUGACAAUAGAUACUUUAGUAUGUUAUUGUUGGGCCGUGAUGGAGGAACCGCACUAGGUUGGAUCAAUACAUAUAUUGUGCAUUGAAUAAACACACAAGUGACUUUGACAGCACACUUUCACCCAAAAUCUUAAGCCAUUAGGUUUAUGAUCCUCUCAUUGAGCAUUGAAUAAACACACAAAUGACUUUGACAUCACACUUUCACCCAAAAUCUUAAGCCAUUAGGUUUAUGAUCCUCUCACUUAUAUAUUUCUCAUCAGUUAUAUAAGUUUGGUUAUGGUGGAAAUCCUCUACGUUGAAGGAUUGGACGUAACUACCAUUCAUAGUGAACCAAUCACAAUUCUCUGUGUCUCUCUUUUUGCUCUUUAUCUUUAGUCUCUUACAUACUUCGUGCCUUAAAAUCUAACAUGUUAAAUUAUUUUCACGAAAAAUACUUUUAAUUACACAAUUAAAAACUCUCCUUAUAUUUUUCUCACCUUCAAUUGACAUAGCACUUAAUCGUGUUAGAAAAA
This 1268-nucleotide long non-coding RNA is filed under the name Trifolium pratense (red clover). Its description in RNAcentral is "long non-coding RNA (TPRA_LNC002222)". Lineage: Eukaryota; Viridiplantae; Streptophyta; Magnoliopsida; Fabales; Fabaceae. The record is from RNAcentral.